RNAcentral lists this ribosomal RNA (497 nucleotides) under uncultured bacterium. Its description in RNAcentral is "partial 16S ribosomal RNA". It matches the Rfam family "Bacterial small subunit ribosomal RNA", at positions 28 to 507 of the family's 1533-position model. The record is from RNAcentral.
GAUGAACGCUGGCGGCGUGCCUAAUACAUGCAAGUCGAGCGAACAGACGAGGAGCUUGCUCCUCUGACGUUAGCGGCGGACGGGUGAGUAACACGUGGAUAACCUACCUAUAAGACUGGGAUAACUUCGGGAAACCGGAGCUAAUACCGGAUAAUAUAUUGAACCGCAUGGUUCAAUAGUGAAAGACGGUUUUGCUGUCACUUAUAGAUGGAUCCGCGCCGCAUUAGCUAGUUGGUAAGGUAACGGCUUACCAAGGCAACGAUGCGUAGCCGACCUGAGAGGGUGAUCGGCCACACUGGAACUGAGACACGGUCCAGACUCCUACGGGAGGCAGCAGUAGGGAAUCUUCCGCAAUGGGCGAAAGCCUGACGGAGCAACACCGCGUGAGUGAUGAAGGUCUUCGGAUCGUAAAGCUCUGUUAUUAGGGAAGAACAACUGUGUAAGUAACUAUGCACGUCUUGACGGUACCUAAUCAGAAAGCCACGGCUAACUACGUG